This 253-nucleotide ribosomal RNA is filed under the name uncultured bacterium. RNAcentral describes it as "partial 16S ribosomal RNA". It matches the Rfam family "Bacterial small subunit ribosomal RNA", at positions 524 to 776 of the family's 1533-position model. The record is from RNAcentral.
UACAGAGGGUGCGAGCGUUGUCCGGAAUCACUGGGCGUAAAGGGCGCGUAGGCGGCUUGGUAAGUAGGGGGUGAAAUACUUCAGCUUAACUGGAGAAGUGCCUUCGAUACGGGCAGACUAGAGGUAUGCAGGGGAGAACGGAAUUCCUGGUGUAGCGGUGAAGUGCGCAGAUAUCAGGAGGAACACCGGUGGCGAAGGCGGUUCUCUGGGCAUUACCUGACGCUGAGGGGCGAAAGUGUGGGGAGCGAACAGG